GCGUAUGCCUUAGUGCUGAAAGGUUGGUGUUUUCAUGUUUUUUGAAGAUAAUGUUGGUGUCAUUAUGAACCCCAAAGGAGAAAUGAAAGGCUCAGUAAUUAUCGGUCUAAUCAAAAACAUAUA
Populus euphratica (Euphrates poplar) is the source of this 123-nucleotide long non-coding RNA. RefSeq lists it as uncharacterized. NCBI's taxonomy places the organism in Eukaryota, Viridiplantae, Streptophyta, Magnoliopsida, Malpighiales, Salicaceae. The record is from RefSeq and is a predicted model, not a curated record. The transcript is spliced from 3 exons.